Molecule: unclassified non-coding RNA, 352 nt
Filed under: soil metagenome
Description: partial contains 5.8S ribosomal RNA, internal transcribed spacer 2, and large subunit ribosomal RNA
Rfam family: 5.8S ribosomal RNA (bases 1-120)
Source: RNAcentral
GAUGAAGAACGCAGCGAAAUGCGAUAAGUAAUGUGAAUUGCAGAAUUCAGUGAAUCAUCGAAUCUUUGAACGCACAUUGCGCCCGCCAGUAUUCUGGCGGGCAUGCCUGUUCGAGCGUCACUACAACCCUCAGGCCCCCGGGCCUGGCGUUGGGGAUCGGCGGAGCCCCCCGUGGGCACACGCCGUCCCCCAAAUACAGUGGCGGUCCCGCCGCAGCUUCCAUCGCGUAGUAGCUAACACCUCGCGACUGGAGAGCGGCGCGGCCACGCCGUAAAACACCCAACUCUUCUGAAGUUGACCUCGAAUCAGGUAGGAAUACCCGCUGAACUUAAGCAUAUCAAUAAGCGGAGGA